This 1314-nucleotide ribosomal RNA is filed under the name uncultured Alphaproteobacteria bacterium. RNAcentral describes it as "uncultured alpha proteobacterium 16S ribosomal RNA". It matches the Rfam family "Bacterial small subunit ribosomal RNA", at positions 33 to 1394 of the family's 1533-position model. The record is from RNAcentral. Lineage: Bacteria; Pseudomonadati; Pseudomonadota; Alphaproteobacteria.
ACGCUGGCGGCACGCCUAACACAUGCAAGUCGAACGAAGUAGCAAUACUUAGUGGCAGACGGGUGAGUAACAUGUAGGUAUCUGCCCUUUGGCCUGGAAUAACACGAGGAAACUUGUGCUAAUACCGGAUAAGUCUUUACGGAGAAAGCUUUAUGCACCAUUGGAUGAGCCUGCACUUGAUUAGUUUGUUGGUGGGGUAAUGGCCUACCAAGACUGUGAUCAAUAGCUGAUUUGAGAGGAUGAUCAGCCACAUUGGGACUGAGACACGGCCCAAACUCCUACGGGAGGCAGCAGUGGGGAAUCUUGCACAAUGGAGGAAACUCUGAUGCAGCGAUGCCGCGUGAGUGAAGAAGGCCUUUGGGUUGUAAAGCUCUUUCGUCGGGGAAGAAAAUGACUGUACCCGAAUAAGAAGGUCCGGCUAACUUCGUGCCAGCAGCCGCGGUAAUACGAAGGGACCUAGCGUAGUUCGGAAUUACUGGGCUUAAGGAGUUCGUAGGUGGUUGAAAAAGUUAGUGGUGAAAUCCCAGAGCUUAACUCUGGAACUGCCAUUAAAACUUUUCAGCUAGAGUAUGAUAGAGGAAAGCAGAAUUUCUAGUGUAGAGGUGAAAUUCGUAGAUAUUAGAAAGAAUAUCAAUUGCGAAGGCAGCUUUCUGGAUCAUUACUGACACUGAGGAACGAAAGCAUGGGUAGCGAAGAGGAUUAGAUACCCUCGUAGUCCAUGCCGUAAACGAUGUGUGUUAGACGUUGGAAAUUUAUUUUCAGUGUCGCAGGGAAACCGAUAAACACACCGCCUGGGGAGUACGACCGCAAGGUUAAAACUCAAAUGAAUUGACGGGGACCCGCACAAGUAGUGGAGCAUGUGGUUUAAUUCGAAGAUACGCGCAGAACCUUACCAACACUUGACAUGUUCGUCGCAACUCUAAGAGAUUAGAGUUUUCGGUUCGGCCGGACGAAACACAGGUGCUGCAUGGCUGUCGUCAGCUCGUGUCGUGAGAUGUUGGGUUAAGUCCCGCAACGAGCGCAACCCUCACUUUUAGUUGCCAUCAUUAAGUUGGGCACUCUAAAAGAACUGCCAGUGAUAAGCUGGAGGAAGGUGGGGAUGACGUCAAGUCCUCAUGGCCCUUACGUGUUGGGCUACACACGUGCUACAAUGGUAUCUACAACAGGAAGCAAGACGGCGACGUCAAGCAAAUCCCUAAAAGAUACCUCAGUUCGGAUUGCACUCUGCAACUCGAGUGCAUGAAGCUGGAAUUACUAGUAAUCGUGGAUCAGCGUGCCACGGUGAAUGCGUUCCCGGGUCUUGUACUCACCGCC